This 82-nucleotide transfer RNA is filed under the name Candidatus Opitulatrix roisinitermitis. Its description in RNAcentral is "tRNA-Tyr". It matches the Rfam family "tRNA". Rfam says of the family: Transfer RNA (tRNA) molecules are approximately 80 nucleotides in length. The record is from RNAcentral. Lineage: Bacteria; Bacillati; Actinomycetota; Actinomycetes; Bifidobacteriales; Bifidobacteriaceae.
GGUGGAUUACCCGAGUGGCCAAAGGGGGCAGACUGUAAAUCUGCUGGCUCAGCCUUCACUGGUUCGAAUCCAGUAUCCACCA